RNAcentral lists this ribosomal RNA (425 nucleotides) under uncultured bacterium. Its description in RNAcentral is "partial 16S ribosomal RNA". It matches the Rfam family "Bacterial small subunit ribosomal RNA", at positions 354 to 796 of the family's 1533-position model. The record is from RNAcentral.
GUGGGGAAUAUUGGACAAUGGGCGCAAGCCUGAUCCAGCCAUGCCGCGUGAGUGAUGAAGGCCUUAGGGUUGUAAAGCUCUUUCAGUAGGGAAGAUAAUGACGGUACCUACAGAAGAAGCCCCGGCUAACUUCGUGCCAGCAGCCGCGGUAAUACGAAGGGGGCUAGCGUUGUUCGGAUUUACUGGGCGUAAAGCGCACGUAGGCGGAUCGUUAAGUCGGGGGUGAAAUCCUGGAGCUCAACUCCAGAACUGCCUUCGAUACUGGCGAUCUUGAGUCCGGAAGAGGUGAGUGGAACUCCUAGUGUAGAGGUGGAAUUCGUAGAUAUUAGGAAGAACACCAGUGGCGAAGGCGGCUCACUGGUCCGGUACUGACGCUGAGGUGCGAAAGCGUGGGGAGCAAACAGGAUUAGAAACCCCAGUAGUCC